RNAcentral lists this ribosomal RNA (484 nucleotides) under uncultured bacterium. RNAcentral's name for it is "bacterial SSU rRNA". It matches the Rfam family "Bacterial small subunit ribosomal RNA", at positions 30 to 507 of the family's 1533-position model. The record is from RNAcentral.
AUUGAACGCUGGCGGCAUGCUUUACACAUGCAAGUCGAACGGUAACAGGGUGCUUGCACCGCUGACGAGUGGCGAACGGGUGAGUAAUAUAUCGGAACGUACCUAGUAAUGGGGGAUAACUAUCCGAAAGGAUAGCUAAUACCGCAUACGCCCUGAGGGGGAAAGAGGGGGAUCGCAAGACCUCUCGUUAUUAGAGCGGCCGAUAUCAGAUUAGCUAGUUGGUGAGGUAAAGGCUCACCAAGGCGACGAUCUGUAGCGGGUCUUAGAGGACGAUCCGCCACACUGGAACUGAGACACGGUCCAGACUCCUACGGGAGGCAGCAGUGGGGAAUCUUGGACAAUGGGCGCAAGCCUGAUCCAGCAAUGCCGCGUGCGUGAAGAAGGCCUUCGGGUUGUAAAGCGCUUUUGUUCGGGAGGAAAUCCUAGGGGCUAAUACCUCUUGGGGAUGACAGUACCGGAAGAAUAAGGACCGGCUAACUACGUG